CAGGGAGAAGCUAACACUGGAUAGUGAGGUUGGUUGACGGGAGAGGUUAACACUGGGUUGGGAGGUUGGCUGACUGGGACUGGAGGAUAAUUUAUUACUUGCAUUACAGGGAGGGAGAGGAGUACAUAUGGGCUCUAGUGUGCACCCUAAAGCAAAAACACGCCACAUGUAUAUGUAUGUGUGUAUAUAUACACACAUAAAUACACUGCUGUGUGUGUGCGCGCUGCAUGAGGGUGGUUUGAGGGUGUUGUGUGUGUGUGUGUAAAGGUGCUGUUAGGGUGAUGUGUGUGUGAGGGUGUUUGUGUUUGUUAGGGUCCUGUUAAUGUGCUGUUUCUGUGCUGUGUGUGAGAGGGUGCUGUGUGUGUGUGUGUGUGCUGUGUGUCUGUGUGUGCUGUAUGUGUGUAGGUGAUUGUGGAGGUGGGGGCAGAUCAGUUAAUAUCCCCCCUCCCAUUGGCGGAUCCGGGGGGGGGGCAACGGGGCAAUUGCCCCCCC
Pelobates cultripes (western spadefoot toad) is the source of this 492-nucleotide non-coding RNA. The record is from the annotation of a GenBank genome assembly. NCBI's taxonomy places the organism in Eukaryota, Metazoa, Chordata, Amphibia, Anura, Pelobatidae.